UCCUUUCUCCUCCUCUCAAGAAAGAAACAGAGUCUUCUAGACCCCUCCCAAAUUCCUCGCCGGCGCCGGGAUCUCGCGUCACCACUCUCCUCCGCUGCCUCCCGAACUUCCCUCGCUCUGGAUCCGGUCCACCAUGAGCCAAGCCUCGCCGCCAAGUCCCUUGCCGCCGCCUGUGUCCUAUGUCCCCACGGCAGCCGCCGCCGCAUCGCCCCCCUUGCUCGAUGCAUCGGCUCGGCUCCAGCGCCUAACCCAGGGUCGCAUGGUGGGCUGCGCGAGCCUGCCGGCCUGCCCCGCAGCCCCCUCGCCAACAUGGGCCCAGCCGCCCCUCCUCGCCUCGCGAGGUAGCUGGAGAAGAAGCUGCCGGAUCGGAGGCUACCGCACGACAAGAUCAUCUGCUGCUGCUGUGUCUGCUUGUUGAAGAAGGGUGUGCCGGCAGGAGGAGGCAGUGUUGAGAGUGCUCGGUCUGCAACAGGGCGAGCUUGGGCUGCACCGCAGGCUCUGGUUCUCAACCUCCAACAUGAUUCCCUUUCUUCCGUGCCUCCAAUGGAGGCUACCAGCGGCAGGAACGCCACGAGUCAUCCUGGCAUUGCAGAUGCAGAGCCUUCCAGGGGUGACCUGUUUGUUCCCGGCCGCGCCGAUGUCAACUACCUUCAUCCACUGUGACUGUCCCCAACCACGCUCAACUCCCCAAACCUGUACCAUCCCCUCAGGUCAAUAUUCAUACCCUUUUCAUUGCGACAUUCGUCAGAUUUUUGUACUUGGGAUGAUUUGGUGCAAGGCAUAGAGGAGCAUGAUCAAGCAUGGCUAAAUAUAUUUGUAAGUAGAGAAGUUCUUGAGUCACACACUAAAGGAAGAGAGAUAAGCUUUUUCUCUUUGUUGUAUCAAGUAAUUUACUUCCCAGUCCGCUAUAUAUUAUUGUGUACUGAAUGCAAUCUGAAAUAACCUCUUUUACAAGAAAAUACGUACCUGUGUGGUUGUGUGAGAUCUAUUUGGAAGUGCUAAUUGAUGAAAUGUAUGUAGCAUUAGUAAUAACCUUCUGAUGUGUGGUCAGAUAUGUGAUAAUUAGUGAAAUGUUGCUUUAGAUAGUUUUUU
Triticum dicoccoides is the source of this 1092-nucleotide long non-coding RNA. RefSeq lists it as uncharacterized. The transcript is spliced from 3 exons. The record is from RefSeq and is a predicted model, not a curated record. NCBI's taxonomy places the organism in Eukaryota, Viridiplantae, Streptophyta, Magnoliopsida, Poales, Poaceae.